This 298-nucleotide ribosomal RNA is filed under the name uncultured bacterium. RNAcentral's name for it is "partial 16S ribosomal RNA". It matches the Rfam family "Bacterial small subunit ribosomal RNA", at positions 44 to 334 of the family's 1533-position model. The record is from RNAcentral.
GUGCUUAACACAUGCAAGUCGCGUGCGCAGUUCCUGUAGCAAUACAGGGAUGGGCGCACGGCGCACGGGUGCGUAACACGUGGGCAAUCUGCCCUCCGAUGGGGAAUAACCCCGCGAAAGCGGGGCUAAUUCCGCAUAACAUUCCUUGGACCUUGGUUCGAGGAUUCAAAGCAGCAAUGCGUCGGAGGAGGAGCCCGCGCCCGAUUAGCUAGUUGGUAGGGUAACGGCCUACCAAGGCAAUGAUCGGUAGCUGGUCUGAGAGGAUGGCCAGCCACACUGGAACUGAGACACGGUCCAG